AAUAAAGGGCCUGAAAAAAAGGAUUAUUCUGAUAGGAUAAAUUAUGUAAUAUUUUACCUUUAUAA
RNAcentral lists this transfer RNA (65 nucleotides) under Biston mediolata. RNAcentral's name for it is "tRNA-Ile". Lineage: Eukaryota; Metazoa; Arthropoda; Insecta; Lepidoptera; Geometridae. The record is from RNAcentral.